GCAGACACAUUCCAGCCAAUCAGCAGCAGACCCUCCCUCCCAGACCCUCCCACCUCCUGGACAGCAUUCAUUUUACAAUCAUUGUGAAGCUGCAUUCUUAGUGAGCUGUCCAGGAGGUGGGAGGGUCUGGGAGGGAGGGUCUGCUGCUGAUUGGCUGGAAUGUGUCUG
Pelobates cultripes (western spadefoot toad) is the source of this 168-nucleotide non-coding RNA. The record is from the annotation of a GenBank genome assembly. NCBI's taxonomy places the organism in Eukaryota, Metazoa, Chordata, Amphibia, Anura, Pelobatidae.